AAUGAACGUUGGCGGCGUGGAUUAGGCAUGCAAGUCGUGCGAGAAACCAAUUAGCUUGCUAAGAGGUGGACAGCGGCGAAAGGGAGAGUAACGCGUGGUUACGUACCCUCGAGACCGGGAUAGUGUUGGGAAACUGGCAGUAAUACCGGAUAACAUCUUCGGAUCAAAUGGUGUGAUUCCGCUCGAGGAUCGGACCGCGUACUAUUAGCUUGUUGGCGGGGUAACGCCCACAAGGCUGCGAUGGUUACCGGGUGUGAGAGCAUGGCCCGGCUCACUGGGACUGAGACACUGCCCAGACAUCUACGGAUGGCUGCAGUCGAGAAUCUUCGGCAAUGGACGCAAGUCUGACCGAGCGACGCCGCGUGCGGGAUGAAGGCCCUCGGGUUGUAACCG
Molecule: ribosomal RNA, 393 nt
Filed under: uncultured bacterium
Lineage: Bacteria
Description: bacterial SSU rRNA
Rfam family: Bacterial small subunit ribosomal RNA
Source: RNAcentral